Molecule: transfer RNA, 75 nt
Filed under: archaeon
Lineage: Archaea
Also listed under: 1 other name
Description: tRNA-Ile
Rfam family: tRNA
About the family: Transfer RNA (tRNA) molecules are approximately 80 nucleotides in length.
Source: RNAcentral
GGAAGUGUAGCUUAGUCUGGUUAGAGCAUUGGUCUUAUACACCAAAGGUCGCAGGUUCGAAUCCUGCCAUUUCCA